GAUGAACGCUAGCUACAGGCUUAACACAUGCAAGUCGAGGGGAAACGGCAUCGAAAGCUUGCUUUUGAUGGGCGUCGACCGGCGCACGGGUGAGUAACGCGUAUCCAACCUGCCCAUCACUUGGGAAUAACCUUGCGAAAGUAAGACUAAUGCCCAAUGACAUCCCACGAAGGCAUCCGAAUGUGAUUAAAGAUUUAUCGGUGAUGGAUGGGGAUGCGUCUGAUUAGCUUGUUGGCGGGGUGACGGCCCACCAAGGCAACGAUCAGUAGGGGUUCUGAGAGGAAGGUCCCCCACAUUGGAACUGAGACACGGUCCAAACUCCUACGGGAGGCAGCAGUGAGGAAUAUUGGUCAAUGGGCGAGAGCCUGAACCAGCCAAGUAGCGUGCAGGAGGACGGCCCUAUGGGUUGUAAACUGCUUUUAUAAGGGAAUAAAGUGGGUCACGUGUGACUUUUUGCAUGUACCUUAUGAAUAAGGACCGGCUAAUUCCGUG
This 492-nucleotide ribosomal RNA is filed under the name uncultured bacterium. RNAcentral's name for it is "partial 16S ribosomal RNA". It matches the Rfam family "Bacterial small subunit ribosomal RNA", at positions 28 to 507 of the family's 1533-position model. The record is from RNAcentral.